CAAAGGAACACAGUGGAAGGAACGUCUAUACAGAAUUUACUAACUAUCUUUCCUUUUGCGAGCAGGUGUAUGACAAAAGAGACAAUAUAUGGUUAAUGGAAAUAAUUGUGCAACAGAAAAUGAUCUCUGAACGAGUAUGGAACGCAUUGCGGAAGAAAUUAAGCAAGUUUGGAGUCAAGUUUGGUCGGUUGUAUUGCGUUAAUUAUACGAGAUUUUGCAAGGAGAAAGGCUGGACUUCUUCUAGACGUGUAUUAUCAACGCCGUCACACAAUGAGAAAGAAGCAAAAUGUUGUAAUCCAAUAACAUACACUUACCCAUAUACAGUAGAACCCAAUGCAAUAUUUAAAUGGCUGAAACAGGAGGUGAACCAAGGACUAACAGUCGUAGGAGACAAGACGAGCUGAAGCAGAACUGGCUUGAAUUUUCCAAUUUGUUCAGUUCAGAAACACGGGUUCUGUAUGUGUCCAAAGAUCAAAGUGUGCCAUUCUGUCUU
Dreissena polymorpha is the source of this 493-nucleotide long non-coding RNA. RefSeq lists it as uncharacterized. Lineage: Eukaryota; Metazoa; Mollusca; Bivalvia; Myida; Dreissenidae. The record is from RefSeq and is a predicted model, not a curated record. The transcript has 3 exons.